UAACAGGUAGAAGAGUUUGAACCCUCCAAGGGACCUGACCUAUCUUUUCAUCACCCACAAAUGUCCACGAAGCAGUGGACCCAGAGGUUAAGGUUUCUGCGAAGAAAUCUGAAGACUGGAGAAAUGUUACAUUUCUAUCCAAAUCGAGGCCACUUUCAUUGCGGUUUGCUCGUAAUAAACCCGACUCGAUUGCUUAGUGAGUAUGAACAGUUACUUUGCUCUGUACCCAGCUUGUUUGAAAGCUGUGCUUCUUUUAUUAGCGGUCCAUCUGAAAGGACUUAAAAAAGAACAAACUGUCACAACACUACAAGAACUGUCUCAGGAAAGGUGGCUUUGUUUGUGUAAGAGUUUGGAUUGAUCUGAGAAGAUGAGGCAUCCAAGUGCAGCACAAGAAAGAUGAUAGAGAAGAGCAGGACAGGAGGCAAGAUGAGAAACUGGAUGGCUUCCCACCGCUCACUGAGUCAGGGCAUCACAGCCUGCCUUCAUUCCUUUGUUUGAAGUAAAUUCCCGGAACAGCAGACACACCCAUACUCACAUGUACUGCAGACAAAGAAGGACAGAAGAUCACUCCUACCACUCGGGUCUAAAAGGGUGAAGUCAUAACUUACUCCAGCAGCCCACCAACCAUGCACCUUGAGCGGAAUUCAGGAAGGAAAGCAGGAUAAGGCCCUCUGUGCUUUGGAGAAACAGAUCCCUGGACAGGAUCAUGAAAUGAAGCCACAUCAGUAAGACUAGGGAUAACGUCUUCUUUGUUCUGCAUCACAUACUCAACACCUAACACAGGACCUGGCCCAUGCUAUUGAAGCAAGAAAUAGAUGGGUCCCAGGCUGAGCAACUGUAACCUGUUCCCUGAGGACAGAUAACUUCAAGAUAAAGCGCAUGGCAGGAGCAAGGAGGAGCUGUGUCUUGCGUGGAUACAAGGCAGAGACUAUUUAUUACUCAUUCUUGAGGCCCAGGAGACCUCCAAAACCACAGAAAGAUCCCUCUGGGGUCAGAGAAAGGAGAGGCACCAGACCACAGUAUAUCGUGUCAACUUCCCAGAAACCUGGGUGUUAGAAUCCAUCCUGGCUAAAAGAUGCGAGCGUGCACACAGGAGAGGGCCCUGAGUCAGGCCAAAUGUGGGCUCAAGGCCAGACAAAGCGAGAUGAUUGGCUAGAGGAAGCCGGAAAGGACUGGCUCAAUUCAGGUGAUUUAAAUCACAGUGUCUCUCUCUUCCUCUCUCUGUCUCUCCCUCUCCCCACCACCCACUGGAGCCUGACCGUGCUUUUCCCCACUUCUAUCUUCUCUCUCUUCUCUCUGAAUAAACGCUUAUUUGCCUCAUACCCUCAGUCUCUUUGCUGAUUUCUUUCUCCAAAGGGAUAAGUUCUGGGGAACAACAUCAAGUGAUUAGGGUGCAAUGUUUUCACCCCAUAGCCACCCGAGAAAAAUAUGUGUUCAAUAAACACGUUUACUGAUUGAAUGUGUGAAAAAAAUGGACUGAUCAAUUCAGUUUUAAAAAAAAAAUCCAAGUAGCCAUUUGAAGUUUUAGGGUAAAUAUUUGGGUGGGAUCAUGCAGACAGUCAGACAAUAAAAAAUUAUUGUCAUCUUUAUAAAGCAUAAGGUAUAAAGGCUAUAUAUAUAGCCUUCUAAGACUUAAAAGUUAUUUGCUAUUGCUCACAUAUAAAUGUUCCCAGCAGUUAUUAGUUUUCAAAAUGGAAGAUUUCCAUACAUUUUUGUAUACUCUUAUUACUGCCAUCAUAUCUGUGAUGGGGAUGGAGGAGGCACAGGUAGUUGUAGGGGUCCCAGUGAGGGACCACAGGUAGAGAGGGAAACUUAGGGCACUUCGGGAGAUCACUGUAAGUUAACAAACUGCUCAAGAAAGCCAUCAGAACAAGUCAGCCCUGCUUGGUAAGUGGAGGUGCGAGAAUUGCUUCAGGUCUUUGGAUGGAUAGGAUUAGGCCUGCAUUCAGAUUCAGAUCAAGGGCUGGAGCUUGAGGACCGCCCUUCUGCUGAUUUGCAUACACUCCAUUCUGGAUACGGAGGAGGAGCUACUAGGCUGAGAAUGGAAGAGGAGGUCUUUUCCGACCCUCACUCCCCUUGGAUGAUAAAACUAUAGCCCCCCUAACCCUGGGGCAGAGCCUCCUUGCCUGCUUGCUUGCAUCUGUCACAAGCGUCCUAUCUUAAUAAAUCUAUUUCUUGCCUAUCUUUUUCUCUCUCGCUGAAUGCCUUCUGCACAGAGGCAAAAAGAACCUGAACCUCGGUGAGUGCAGACACCAGGAAAGUGAUUUUAAUUUAACACUGUGUGUUUAAAUCCCAGUCUGGAUUUUGGCUGGCUUUGAGUCCUGCCCGGCACAUGGCUUCCAGUCCCACUCUGGGUGCUGGCUAGGUUCAGGCCAUUAGUGCUGUCAGGUUCAUCCACAGGUUCUUACCCUGCACUGUAUAAAAUAUACAUCUACUUACAACUGAAAUGCAUAGGGUUACCAAGAGAUUUCACAGGCUUGGAAAUACUGCAUUUAGUUGUGGAUUUGUAUUGUGCUGUUUAAAGGCAAACUAAUUCUUGACACUUUUUUUUUUCUGAGAUAAAUUGACUAUAUUUACAAUGUUUAGUUGCUUCAAUACUUUGUAAAUCAGAAUCCAGCUUAGAAAGCAACAUAUUUCAUAUUUCAACUAUUUGAUUUGAUUUAUACAUAAGGGCAAAGAAUGAAGGAGCCAAAAUUUAUCAGAAUUGUAUAGAUGAACCUCUGCAUAAAAUUAUUCUAAAAAGUUUAUUUUGCUUAAUGAUUUCUCUUAACCUGAUCUAUGCAUUUCAAAGAUUGCUAAGGACCAGUAUAUUCUCUCUCCCUCUCUGUCUCUCUCUCACAUACACACACAUUACCAAAUACCUGAAUGAUUAAUAUUAUGUAAACAAGAUACCUGGAUGAUAGAUUUUCACUUCCAAUAAAGACGUUUGAACAGUUCUA
Sus scrofa (pig) is the source of this 2939-nucleotide long non-coding RNA. RefSeq lists it as uncharacterized. Lineage: Eukaryota; Metazoa; Chordata; Mammalia; Artiodactyla; Suidae. The record is from RefSeq and is a predicted model, not a curated record.